CAUUAAGAAGCUAACCACCAAGCGUUAACCUUUUAAGUUAAAGAUUGGGAGUGCCAACCUCCCCUUAAUGA
This 71-nucleotide transfer RNA is filed under the name Rousettus amplexicaudatus (Geoffroy's rousette). RNAcentral's name for it is "tRNA-Lys". It matches the Rfam family "tRNA". From Rfam's summary of the family: Transfer RNA (tRNA) molecules are approximately 80 nucleotides in length. Lineage: Eukaryota; Metazoa; Chordata; Mammalia; Chiroptera; Pteropodidae. The record is from RNAcentral.